Molecule: ribosomal RNA, 1449 nt
Filed under: Salmonella enterica subsp. enterica serovar Malakal
Lineage: Bacteria; Pseudomonadati; Pseudomonadota; Gammaproteobacteria; Enterobacterales; Enterobacteriaceae
Description: partial 23S ribosomal RNA
Rfam family: Bacterial large subunit ribosomal RNA
Source: RNAcentral
AGACCCGAAACCCGGUGAUCUAGCCAUGGGCAGGUUGAAGGUUGGGUAACACUAACUGGAGGACCGAACCGACUAAUGUUGAAAAAUUAGCGGAUGACCUGUGGCUGGGGGUGAAAGGCCAAUCAAACCGGGAGAUAGCUGGUUCUCCCCGAAAGCUAUUUAGGUAGCGCCUCGUGAAUUCAUCUCCGGGGGUAGAGCACUGUUUCGGCUAGGGGGCCAUCCCGGCUUACCAACCCGAUGCAAACUGCGAAUACCGGAGAAUGUUAUCACGGGAGACACACGGCGGGUGCUAACGUCCGUCGUGAAGAGGGAAACAACCCAGACCGCCAGCUAAGGUCCCAAAGUCAUGGUUAAGUGGGAAACGAUGUGGGAAGGCCCAGACAGCCAGGAUGUUGGCUUAGAAGCAGCCAUCAUUUAAAGAAAGCGUAAUAGCUCACUGGUCGAGUCGGCCUGCGCGGAAGAUGUAACGGGGCUAAACCAUGCACCGAAGCUGCGGCAGCGACACUAUGUGUUGUUGGGUAGGGGAGCGUUCUGUAAGCCUGUGAAGGUGUGUCGUGAGGCAUGCUGGAGGUAUCAGAAGUGCGAAUGCUGACAUAAGUAACGAUAAAGCGGGUGAAAAGCCCGCUCGCCGGAAGACCAAGGGUUCCUGUCCAACGUUAAUCGGGGCAGGGUGAGUCGACCCCUAAGGCGAGGCCGAAAGGCGUAGUCGAUGGGAAACGGGUUAAUAUUCCCGUACUUGGUGUUACUGCGAAGGGGGGACGGAGAAGGCUAUGUUGGCCGGGCGACGGUUGUCCCGGUUUAAGCGUGUAGGUGUGUGUUCCAGGUAAAUCCGGUUCACUUUAACACUGAGGCGUGACGACGAGGCACUACGGUGCUGAAGCAACAAAUGCCCUGCUUCCAGGAAAAGCCUCUAAGCAUCAGGUAACAUCAAAUCGUACCCCAAACCGACACAGGUGGUCAGGUAGAGAAUACCAAGGCGCUUGAGAGAACUCGGGUGAAGGAACUAGGCAAAAUGGUGCCGUAACUUCGGGAGAAGGCACGCUGACACGUAGGUGAAGUGAUUUACUCACGGAGCUGAAGUCAGUCGAAGAUACCAGCUGGCUGCAACUGUUUAUUAAAAACACAGCACUGUGCAAACACGAAAGUGGACGUAUACGGUGUGACGCCUGCCCGGUGCCGGAAGGUUAAUUGAUGGGGUCAGCGCAAGCGAAGCUCCUGAUCGAAGCCCCGGUAAACGGCGGCCGUAACUAUAACGGUCCUAAGGUAGCGAAAUUCCUUGUCGGGUAAGUUCCGACCUGCACGAAUGGCGUAAUGAUGGCCAGGCUGUCUCCACCCGAGACUCAGUGAAAUUGAACUCGCUGUGAAGAUGCAGUGUACCCGCGGCAAGACGGAAAGACCCCGUGAACCUUUACUAUAGCUUGACACUGAACAUUGAGCCUUGAUGUGUAG